RNAcentral lists this ribosomal RNA (907 nucleotides) under Halomonas sp. JCOL8241. RNAcentral's name for it is "partial 16S ribosomal RNA". It matches the Rfam family "Bacterial small subunit ribosomal RNA". Lineage: Bacteria; Pseudomonadati; Pseudomonadota; Gammaproteobacteria; Oceanospirillales; Halomonadaceae. The record is from RNAcentral.
UCAGAUUGAACGCUGGCGGCAGGCCUAACACAUGCAAGUCGAGCGGAAACGAUCCUAGCUUGCUAGGAGGCGUCGAGCGGCGGACGGGUGAGUAAUGCAUAGGAAUCUGCCCGGUAGUGGGGGAUAACUUGAGGAAACUCAAGCUAAUACCGCAUACGCCCUACGGGGGAAAGCAGGGGCUCUUCGGACCUUGCGCUAUCGGAUGAGCUUAUGUCGGAUUAGCUGGUUGGUGAGGUAACGGCUCACCAAGGCGACGAUCCGUAGCUGGUCUGAGAGGAUGAUCAGCCACAUCGGGACUGAGACACGGCCCGAACUCCUACGGGAGGCAGCAGUGGGGAAUAUUGGACAAUGGGGGCAACCCUGAUCCAGCCAUGCCGCGUGUGUGAAGAAGGCCCUCGGGUUGUAAAGCACUUUCAGCGAGGAAGAAUGCUUGUCGGUUAAUACCCGGCAAGGGAGACAUCACUCGCAGAAGAAGCACCGGCUAACUCCGUGCCAGCAGCCGCGGUAAUACGGAGGGUGCGAGCGUUAAUCGGAAUUACUGGGCGUAAAGCGUGCGUAGGCGGCUUGAUAAGCCGGUUGUGAAAGCCCCGGGCUCAACCUGGGAACGGCAUCCGGAACUGUUAGGCUAGAGUGCAGGAGAGGAAGGUAGAAUUCCCGGUGUAGCGGUGAAAUGCGUAGAGAUCGGGAGGAAUACCAGUGSCGGAAGGCGGSCAUCUWCACUGACACWUGACGCGAAGUAWCGAAAGCGGAGAUAGSAAAAMAGARAAAACCGSUAGUAGACAAUGCGWUAAACMACARAAACCCGCCCGUCGGUCRUCAGUAGKUCUAUGUGUGKUGAUASUYYACGCGUGMSUCACKCUGCAGUCGUAUAUGAACUAUASUAGCAGAUCGRGAGAKAGRCAUGAUA